GUUAUUGUAGCUUACUAACAGCACAGCACUGAAAAUGCUGAGACGGUCUAUAAACCCAAUUAACA
Molecule: transfer RNA, 65 nt
Filed under: Anilius scytale (false coral snake)
Lineage: Eukaryota; Metazoa; Chordata; Lepidosauria; Squamata; Aniliidae
Description: tRNA-Phe
Source: RNAcentral